GAUGAACGCUGGCGGCGUGCCUAAUACAUGCAAGUCGAGCGAACAGAUAAGGAGCUUGCUCCUUUGACGUUAGCGGCGGACGGGUGAGUAACACGUGGGUAACCUACCUAUAAGACUGGAAUAACUCCGGGAAACCGGGGCUAAUGCCGGAUCACAUUUAGAACCGCAUGGUUCUAAAGUGAAAGAUGGUUUUGCUAUCACUUAUAGAUGGACCCGCGCCGUAUUAGCUAGUUGGGAAGGUAACGGCUUACCAAGGCAACGAUACGUAGCCGACCUGAGAGGGUGAUCAGCCACACUGGAACUGAGACACGGUCCAGACUCCUACGGGAGGCAGCAGUAGGGAAUAUUCCGCAAUGGGCGAAAGCCUGACGGAGCAACGCCGCGUGAGUGAUGAAGGUCUUCGGAUCGUAAAACUCUGUUAUUAGGGAAGAACAAAUGUGUAAGUAACUGUGCACGUCUUGACGGUACCUAAUCAGAAAGCCACGGCUAACUACGUG
RNAcentral lists this ribosomal RNA (497 nucleotides) under uncultured bacterium. Its description in RNAcentral is "partial 16S ribosomal RNA". It matches the Rfam family "Bacterial small subunit ribosomal RNA", at positions 28 to 507 of the family's 1533-position model. The record is from RNAcentral.